AGCACUGGCAUGUGGUUUUGUUCAAUGAAACCAAAGACAGACAAAAUAGGUGAGAAAAAAAAUCAUCUUUUGCAACUUAGAAUUCACUGAUCAGUAUGAGUUUUGAUACCCACAAGAAAAAAUGUG
Grammomys surdaster is the source of this 126-nucleotide small nucleolar RNA. RefSeq annotates it as small nucleolar RNA SNORA40. Lineage: Eukaryota; Metazoa; Chordata; Mammalia; Rodentia; Muridae. The record is from RefSeq and is a predicted model, not a curated record. The transcript has a single exon.